This 574-nucleotide ribosomal RNA is filed under the name uncultured Lactobacillus sp. Its description in RNAcentral is "bacterial SSU rRNA". It matches the Rfam family "Bacterial small subunit ribosomal RNA", at positions 926 to 1501 of the family's 1533-position model. The record is from RNAcentral. Lineage: Bacteria; Bacillati; Bacillota; Bacilli; Lactobacillales; Lactobacillaceae.
CAAGCGGUGGAGCAUGUGGUUUAAUUCGAUGCUACGCGAAGAACCUUACCAGGUCUUGACAUCUUCUGCCAACCUAAGAGAUUAGGCGUUCCCUUCGGGGACAGAAUGACAGGUGGUGCAUGGUUGUCGUCAGCUCGUGUCGUGAGAUGUUGGGUUAAGUCCCGCAACGAGCGCAACCCUUAUUGUUAGUUGCCAGCAUUCAGUUGGGCACUCUAGCAAGACUGCCGGUGACAAACCGGAGGAAGGUGGGGAUGACGUCAAAUCAUCAUGCCCCUUAUGACCUGGGCUACACACGUGCUACAAUGGACGGUACAACGAGUUGCGAAACCGCGAGGUCAAGCUAAUCUCUUAAAGCCGUUCUCAGUUCGGAUUGUAGGCUGCAACUCGCCUACAUGAAGUUGGAAUCGCUAGUAAUCGUGGAUCAGCAUGCCACGGUGAAUACGUUCCCGGGCCUUGUACACACCGCCCGUCACACCAUGAGAGUUUGUAACACCCAAAGCCGGUGAGGUAACCUUCGGGGACCAGCCGUCUAAGGUGGGACAGAUGAUUAGGGUGAAGUCGUAACAAGGUAACC